CGCUGGCGGCAGGCUUWACACAUGCAAGUCGAGCGGAGAUGAGGUGCUUGCACCUUAUCUUAGCGGCGGACGGGUGAGUAAUGCUUAGGAAUCUGCCUAUUAGUGGGGGACAACAUUCCGAAAGGAAUGCUAAUACCGCAUACGUCCUACGGGAGAAAGCAGGGGAUCUUCGGACCUUGCGCUAAUAGAUGAGCCUAAGUCGGAUUAGCUAGUUGGUGGGGUAAAGGCCUACCAAGGCGACGAUCUGUAGCGGGUCUGAGAGGAUGAUCCGCCACACUGGGACUGAGACACGGCCCAGACUCCUACGGGAGGCAGCAGUGGGGAAUAUUGGACAAUGGGGGGAACCCUGAUCCAGCCAUGCCGCGUGUGUGAAGAAGGCCUUAUGGUUGUAAAGCACUUUAAGCGAGGAGGAGGCUACUGAGACUAAUACUCUUGGAUAGUGGACGUUACUCGCAGAAUAAGCACCGGCUAACUCUGUGCCAGCAGCCGCGGUAAUACAGAGGGUGCGAGCGUUAAUCGGAUUUACUGGGCGUAAAGCGUGCGUAGGCGGCUUUUUAAGUCGGAUGUGAAAUCCCCGAGCUUAACUUGGGAAUUGCAUUCGAUACUGGGAAGCUAGAGUAUGGGAGAGGAUGGUAGAAUUCCAGGUGUAGCGGUGAAAUGCGUAGAGAUCUGGAGGAAUACCGAUGGCGAAGGCAGCCAUCUGGCCUAAUACUGACGCUGAGGUACGAAAGCAUGGGGAGCAAACAGGAUUAGAUACCCUGGUAGUCCAUGCCGUAAACGAUGUCUACUAGCCGUUGGGGCCUUUGAGGCUUUAGUGGCGCAGCUAACGCGAUAAGUAGACCGCCUGGGGAGUACGGUCGCAAGACUAAAACUCAAAU
RNAcentral lists this ribosomal RNA (878 nucleotides) under uncultured bacterium. RNAcentral's name for it is "bacterial SSU rRNA". It matches the Rfam family "Bacterial small subunit ribosomal RNA", at positions 34 to 906 of the family's 1533-position model. The record is from RNAcentral.